This 90-nucleotide transfer RNA is filed under the name Arthrobacter sp. StoSoilA2. RNAcentral describes it as "tRNA-Ile". Lineage: Bacteria; Bacillati; Actinomycetota; Actinomycetes; Micrococcales; Micrococcaceae. The record is from RNAcentral.
GUUGGGGUGGUUCGGCGGGUUCCACGCUGAUGACAUGGGUGCGGAGGCGCUGGCCGUGCGCCGCGGCUUGUUCGUCCAGGCCGCCUGCGC